Molecule: long non-coding RNA, 706 nt
Organism: Monopterus albus (swamp eel)
Lineage: Eukaryota; Metazoa; Chordata; Actinopteri; Synbranchiformes; Synbranchidae
Exons: 3
Source: RefSeq, a predicted model, not a curated record
GCUCUACCUGACAACCGAGAGUCUGUAUAAAUUCAGCCAACCACAUAUCCAGGUCCAUCUUUCAAAGGCCUAUCACAUGCCAGAGUCCAUCUUUCCGUUGCCAAUCAAAUGGCUAAGUCCAUCUUUCUACCACCAAUCAUGCAUAGCCUGGUCCAUCUUUCUAAGCCAAUCAGCUGCCAGAGUCCAUCUUUCUGUUGCCAAUCAAAUGGCAAAGUCCAUCUUUCUACCGCCAAUCAUGAAACGCUGUCCAUUUUUCACCGUAGCAACGGUCCUCCUGUUUUGUUUCUUCCGUCGCUACGGGAAACUUGAAGUUGCUGAACCACAAGAACCAUAGAAAAAUGCACUCUGCAUAAAAGAGGACAGAUGACCCUAACAAAGGGAAGUCGCAGCUGCACUUGUGGCUUUCACAAUACCAAGGCAUCCUUCAUUCAAUAAGGCAAAACCCAAGUAUAGAUAUGUUAUGCUUAUCCCUCAACAGUAGGAACCUCAGAAGAAGCGCUGGUUUCCCCUUUCAAAACCCUUUUUUAACCUUUGACAAGAGUCAGCACCGUUUUUAUAUAGGCAUUCCCUAAUGCUCACAAUGUUAUGCCCUAUUUGAAUAUACAGUAUAAAUCCAAAAGUCAUGCAUUGUGCACCCACAUACUGUAUGUGCAUUCAUGCAUUUGGCUGUACAAAGCGUGGAAAGACUUAUCAAAAACAACAACAA